CCUACGGGUGGCUGCAGUGAGGAAUAUUGGUCAAUGGGCGCGAGCCUGAACCAGCCAAGUAGCGUGAAGGAUGACUGCCCUCCGGGUUGUAAACUUCUUUUAUAAAGGAAUAAAGUGAGUCACGAGUGACUUUUUGUAUGUACUUUAUGAAUAAGGAUAGGCUAACCCCGUGCCAGCAGCGGCGGUAAUACCGGGGAUGCAAGCGUUAUCCGGAUGUGUUGGGUUUAAAGGGUGAGGAGGCUGGGAGGUAAGUCAGCGGUGAAAUGCCCCCGCUCAACGGGGUGAAGUGCCAGUGAUACUGGCUUGCUGGAAUGCGGAUGAGGUGGGAGGAAUGGGUGGUGUAGCGGUGAAAUGCAUAGAUAUCACACAGAAUACCGAGUGCGAAGGCAUCUCACGAAUCCGCGAUUGACGCUGAUGCACGAAAGCGUGGGUAUCAAACAGGAUUAGAUACCCGGGUAGUC
RNAcentral lists this ribosomal RNA (461 nucleotides) under uncultured bacterium. Its description in RNAcentral is "partial 16S ribosomal RNA". It matches the Rfam family "Bacterial small subunit ribosomal RNA", at positions 338 to 795 of the family's 1533-position model. The record is from RNAcentral.